AGGAGCUGGACCUGGCCCUCCCACCCUCGCUGCCAUGGUGGACGCGGCUCAAGAUGGGGCGCCUCGCCUACUGGCGCAACUCGCUGGUGGUGCGCGUGCUCACCCUGCUCCGGAUCGCGCCCAAGGGCGUGGUGGAGGUGCACGAGAUGCUGUACGAGACCGCGCAGCACCUCACCCUCGGCGGCGAGACCGGCAUCUUCUCGCCGAUGCACAUGGUGGUCCUCCGCAAGCCCGUCGCCGACGCCGCCGAAUAGAGCGAGCGAUCAAACAAGAAGUAAUUUCAAUCAAUUUCUCAUCAGAGGUAAGAAAAACCGGGAGGGAGGACAGGCUUAUUAUUAGCUAAUGGAGCACUACUAGUACAAUUGAUUUGGUGUUGUAGCCGAGAGAGGAGAGAAUAGGAGCGGCCGAUGAUGCUUACUGUUUGUUGGUGGAGUUGGGCUUUCGGUUUUCGUUUUCGUUUGUUGGAGGAGAGAAUAGGAGCGGCCGAGGGAGGACAGGCUUUCGUUUUCGUUUCGAUUUUUGGGUGGAGUUGGGCUGCAUGCAGGCUGGAUUCAGAUUUGUUUCUGCUUUGAUCCGUGGAUUGGAUAGAUCUUCCUUUUCUUCUAUGUAUCG
This 612-nucleotide long non-coding RNA is filed under the name Triticum aestivum (bread wheat). Its description in RNAcentral is "long non-coding RNA (TAES_LNC006432)". The record is from RNAcentral. Lineage: Eukaryota; Viridiplantae; Streptophyta; Magnoliopsida; Poales; Poaceae.